RNAcentral lists this ribosomal RNA (253 nucleotides) under uncultured bacterium. RNAcentral describes it as "partial 16S ribosomal RNA". It matches the Rfam family "Bacterial small subunit ribosomal RNA", at positions 524 to 776 of the family's 1533-position model. The record is from RNAcentral.
UACGAAGGGGACUAGCGUUGUUCGGAAUUACUGGGCGUAAAGCGCGCGUAGGCGGUGAUCUUUGUCAGAGGUGAAAUCCCGAGGCUCAACUUCGGAAUUGCCUUUGAAACGGGAUUGCUUGAGUCCGAGAGAGGAUGGCGGAAUUCCUAGUGUAGAGGUGAAAUUCGUAGAUAUUAGGAAGAACACCGGUGGCGAAGGCGGCCAUCUGGCUCGGUACUGACGCUCAGGCGCGAAAGCGUGGGGAGCAAACAGG